RNAcentral lists this transfer RNA (86 nucleotides) under Stomatobaculum longum. Its description in RNAcentral is "tRNA-Leu". It matches the Rfam family "tRNA". Rfam says of the family: Transfer RNA (tRNA) molecules are approximately 80 nucleotides in length. Lineage: Bacteria; Bacillati; Bacillota; Clostridia; Lachnospirales; Lachnospiraceae. The record is from RNAcentral.
CCCCUCGUGGCGGAAUAGGCAGACGCGCUGGAUUUAGGUUCCAGUGUUCAUGAUGGAACGUGUGGGUUCAAGUCCCACCGAGGGGA